RNAcentral lists this ribosomal RNA (517 nucleotides) under uncultured bacterium. RNAcentral's name for it is "bacterial SSU rRNA". It matches the Rfam family "Bacterial small subunit ribosomal RNA", at positions 501 to 1016 of the family's 1533-position model. The record is from RNAcentral.
CUACGUGCCAGCAGCCGCGGUAAUACGUAGGUCCCGAGCGUUGUCCGGAUUUAUUGGGCGUAAAGCGAGCGCAGGCGGUUUGAUAAGUCUGAAGUUAAAGGCUGUGGCUCAACCAUAGUUCGCUUUGGAAACUGUCAAACUUGAGUGCAGAAGGGGAGAGUGGAAUUCCAUGUGUAGCGGUGAAAUGCGUAGAUAUAUGGAGGAACACCGGUGGCGAAAGCGGCUCUCUGGUCUGUAACUGACGCUGAGGCUCGAAAGCGUGGGGAGCGAACAGGAUUAGAUACCCUGGUAGUCCACGCCGUAAACGAUGAGUGCUAGGUGUUGGAUCCUUUCCGGGAUUCAGUGCCGCAGCUAACGCAUUAAGCAUUCCGCCUGGGGAGUACGACCGCAAGGUUGAAACUCAAAGGAAUUGACGGGGGCCCGCACAAGCGGUGGAGCAUGUGGUUUAAUUCAAAGCAACGCGAAGAACCUUACCAGGUCUUGACAUCCCGAUGCUAUUUCUAGAGAUAGAAAGUUA